This 119-nucleotide ribosomal RNA is filed under the name Pteropus alecto (black flying fox). The record is from RNAcentral. Lineage: Eukaryota; Metazoa; Chordata; Mammalia; Chiroptera; Pteropodidae.
GUCUACGGCCACAGCACCCUGAACAAGCCUGAUCCCGUCUGAUCUCGGAAGCUAAGCAGGGUCGGGCCUGGUUAGCACUUGGAUGGGAGACCACCUAGGAAGACCAGCUGCUGUAGGCA